RNAcentral lists this long non-coding RNA (417 nucleotides) under Varanus komodoensis (Komodo dragon). Its description in RNAcentral is "lncRNA (ENSVKKG00000000757.1)". The record is from RNAcentral. Lineage: Eukaryota; Metazoa; Chordata; Lepidosauria; Squamata; Varanidae.
CAGUCACCGAAGUGAUUGAUGUUGGCUUGAAGACUUGAAACAGCCAUCACAGUUGAAAUAUCACCAACAGAGCUUUCAGUACAUUUUGCUUUGCAUCACACAGUGCUUUCCACUUCUCAAGAUUAACUGCACAUCAAUGUGGGAGUGAUCUUAUGGCCCUUGGGAAUCCACACUGAUCUCCCCAUAUCCUACAGCAGGUACUGGUAAAAAUACAUUCUCCUUUAAAGUGGAACCAUGUUCAUUAAAGAAUAAUUCAGUAUGGAAAGGGUUUAUGUUCUGGAUUCCAAAAGCUGAUUUGUCCGUUUUGACUGGGCGUGUAAGUUUGUGGUUCCAAGGUUCACUAUCCUUAAAAUGGAAUGCUGUUCUUUGCCAUGGUGAGGAUGAUGAAUAUUCAUUUUGUGGCACUCUGAAGGGAGG